GUGAGCUGAUUCCACCAGUGACUGAGCACAGACCACCACCAUGGAGCUGGGGCUGCACUGGGUUCUCCUUGUUGCUCUGUUGAAAGGUGUGCAGUGUGAGGUGCAGCUGGUGGAGUCUGGGGGAGGCUUGGUGCAGCCUGGGGGGUCCCUGAAACUCUCCUGUGCUGCCUCCGGAUUCACCUUCAGUAGAUAUGACAUGAGCUGGAUCCGCCAGGCUCCAGGGAAGGGGCUGGAGUGGCUCUCAUCCAUCUAUGGUAGUAGUAGCACAUACUACGCAGACUCUGUGAAGGGCCGCUUCACCAUCUCUAGAGACAACAGCAAGAGCACACUUUACCUGCAGAUGAACAGCUUGAGAGUGGAGGACACGGCAGUCUAUUACUGUGCUAGAGACACAGUGCAGGAAAUCCAGUGUGGGCCAGACACAAACCUCCCUGCAGGGCGCUCAGCACCAGCAGGGGGCGCUGGGCACACCACUGAGGUCAUGCUCAGACGCAGCGUCCCCCACAGAGCUGUCUGGGGUGUUAAGGGCUCCCAGGCUGGAUGA
Molecule: non-coding RNA, 544 nt
Organism: Dipodomys ordii (Ord's kangaroo rat)
Lineage: Eukaryota; Metazoa; Chordata; Mammalia; Rodentia; Heteromyidae
Source: the annotation of a RefSeq genome assembly